This is a small nuclear RNA of Myodes glareolus (Bank vole), 107 nucleotides long. NCBI's taxonomy places the organism in Eukaryota, Metazoa, Chordata, Mammalia, Rodentia, Cricetidae. The record is from RefSeq and is a predicted model, not a curated record.
GUGCUCGCCUUGACAGUACAUAUACUAAAAUUGGAACUAUACAGAAAAGAUUAGUUUGGCCCCUGUGCAAGGUUGCCACGCAAAUUCAUGAAGUAACUCCGCAUUAA